UGGGGAAUUUUCCGCAAUGGGGGCAACCCUGAUCUAGCCAUGCCGCGUGUGUGAUGAAGGCCCUAGGGUCGUAAAGCACUUUCGCCAGGGAAGAUAAUGACGGUACCUGGUAAAGAAACCCCGGCUAACUCCGUGCCAGCAGCCGCGGUAAUACGGAGGGGGUUAGCGUUGUUCGGAAUUACUGGGCGUAAAGCGCGCGUAGGCGGAUCGGAAAGUUGGGGGUGAAAUCCCGGGGCUCAACCCCGGAACUGCCUCCAAAACUAUCGGUCUAGAGUUCGAGAGAGGUGAGUGGAACUCCGAGUGUAGAGGUGAAAUUCGUAGAUAUUCGGAAGAACACCAGUGGCGAAGGCGGCUCACUGGCUCGAUACUGACGCUGAGGUGCGAAAGUGUGGGGAGCAAACAGGAUUAGAUACCCGCGUAGUCC
This 424-nucleotide ribosomal RNA is filed under the name uncultured prokaryote. RNAcentral's name for it is "bacterial SSU rRNA". It matches the Rfam family "Bacterial small subunit ribosomal RNA", at positions 355 to 796 of the family's 1533-position model. The record is from RNAcentral.